UACGUAGGGAGCAAGCGUUGUCCGGAAUCAUUGGGCGUAAAGCGCGCGUAGGUGGCCUCGUAAGUCCGCUGUGAAAGUCCAAGGCUCAACCUUGGAAAGCCGGUGGAUACUGUGAGGCUAGAGUACGGAAGAGGCGAGUGGAAUUCCUGGUGUAGCGGUGAAAUGCGCAGAUAUCAGGAAGAACACCCGUGGCGAAAGCGGCUCUCUGGAACGGUACUGACGCUGAGACGCGAAAGCGUGGGGAGCGAACAGG
RNAcentral lists this ribosomal RNA (253 nucleotides) under uncultured bacterium. RNAcentral describes it as "partial 16S ribosomal RNA". It matches the Rfam family "Bacterial small subunit ribosomal RNA", at positions 524 to 776 of the family's 1533-position model. The record is from RNAcentral.